ACACAGCCAUGUUGAAUAACAGACGCCUUUUGUUUUGGUGAUGUUUUAUCGUGGAUAUGGUUUAUUACACUGACUGACACCUAAUCGGCUUAAUUAACUUCAAACAACACCUGCUUUAUUUUUCUCACCUUUGUGAUUUUUUUUCAGUGAAACUUAACAUUGAAAUACCUCUCUUAGGCUUUUUAUUCAUCAGUUUUUUUUGAAAUCUCAAACCAAAAGAGAAUUAAAAAAAAAAAUUGGUGAAAAUAAGCUUCAAUCAAAAUUCUACCAAUCACGGAAUUAAUUCCCUGUUUGGCUAGGUGAGCGAAAAGAAAUUUUCUUACUAUAAAUAUUCGUUAAAUGAUAUUUGUAUUUUGUCUUCUUUUGUUUUUGGAAAGCUAAUAAAUAUUUGUUAUUGAACAAUGUUAGUGG
This is a long non-coding RNA of Octopus bimaculoides (California two-spot octopus), 411 nucleotides long. The record is from RefSeq and is a predicted model, not a curated record. NCBI's taxonomy places the organism in Eukaryota, Metazoa, Mollusca, Cephalopoda, Octopoda, Octopodidae.